This 1066-nucleotide long non-coding RNA is filed under the name Triticum aestivum (bread wheat). RNAcentral's name for it is "long non-coding RNA (TAES_LNC023498)". Lineage: Eukaryota; Viridiplantae; Streptophyta; Magnoliopsida; Poales; Poaceae. The record is from RNAcentral.
GUGCAUUUUGGAUCUAUUGGAUGUCUGAAUGUAAUGCUAAUCGACAUUUACUGAUGCAAAGGUAUGUUCUAUUUGUAAUAUGAAAUUAUUCUUAUUCAUACCUCCAACAGUCCUUCUCAUAUUUUCUAUUUGUAAUUUGAAAUGAUUCUUAUUUGUUGUCUGGCGUCUGGUUGUGUUCAAACAAAGUUGGUCAGAAUGAUAUAGUUGUUUUUUCAAGUUGGUUACAUCAAUUUUUCCAGUAUAGUGAUUAUUUAUUAGUUCACAUAGUACAUAGUACCACCGGCCGCUAACUACAUUUUUUUUACAGAUUUUGCAGGGAUGUAGAUAUAUAUUGUGAUGUUUCACUACGAUCUUCAAGUGUUUCAGUUUGUAUUUAGCAGGAUCACAUGUUGACCAAUGACUCUUUGUUUUCUCACUGAUCCAGUAUACUCAAGAACUUGAAUAUUGUGUUUGCUGUGAGUUAUUGACAGUUCCUUGAUUUUUGCAACUCAGGAGUGAAGAUGGCCUUCCUUUGGUAGGCGUAGUGAAUGAAUUUUCUUCUAAUUCAGGCCAUGGUUGAUACCGCUCGGCGUCUGGAUCUGCCAUGGAGUGGCUACCAUGGGCCAACCAGAGCUGGGUGCCCCUGUUUCCGACCUCGAGGCGAUUAGAUUAGAGUCUGAUUAAUUAUGUAUCAUUCGGUCCUUCCUUUGGCUAUUAAUCUAUUGUGGUCUACUUUUCAAGCUCAUACAACAGGUUUAUAUUGAAUUAAAUUUUGUAUAGAUAGCUGUAGCGAUUCUAGCGGAACAUCUUCAAGCUUAAGUUGCUGAACUGAUAUAGCUUGUUGUGUAAUGCAUCUUGAUACCAUACAUGUAAACUAGUUUAGGAAAUUGUGUUGUUCUGAGAUAAUUUCUUAUUUGAAAACAUUACCAACAUAGGCAUGUUACCUUCACACAGGGAAAAAGUUAUUUUGUGACCUAAAGAUAUGAUUUAUGGGCCUACCUCAAUAUCUCAGGAGUUGUCCUUUCCUUGUUAACCCUGUACACUUCACAAGGCCCAUCUGUUCAAGGUAGAGAUAAUGAAAGAACAU